This 303-nucleotide ribosomal RNA is filed under the name uncultured bacterium. RNAcentral describes it as "partial 16S ribosomal RNA". It matches the Rfam family "Bacterial small subunit ribosomal RNA", at positions 507 to 807 of the family's 1533-position model. The record is from RNAcentral.
AGCAGCCGCCACGGGAAUACGAAGGGGGCUAGCGUUGCUCGGAAUUACUGGGCGUAAAGGGAGCGUAGGCGGGUCGUUUAGUCAGAGGUGAAAUCCCGGGGCUCAACCUCGGAACUGCCUUUGAUACUGGCGACCUUGAGUAUGGGAGAGGUGAGUGGAACUCCGAGUGUAGAGGUGAAAUUCGUAGAUAUUCGGAAGAACACCAGUGGCGAAAGCGACUCACUGGCCCAUUACUGACGCUGAGGCUCGAAAGCGUGGGGAGCAAACAGGAUUAGAUACCCCAGUAGUCCCUGUCUCUUAUAC